Molecule: long non-coding RNA, 3681 nt
Filed under: Sus scrofa (pig)
Lineage: Eukaryota; Metazoa; Chordata; Mammalia; Artiodactyla; Suidae
Description: lncRNA (ENSSSCG00015057918.1)
Source: RNAcentral
UUUUUUUUUUUCUUGCAACUCACUCCAAGGACUUAAUUUAAAAUCUGUAGGACUGUGUAUAUGGGAUGUCGAGACAUAAAAACGACAACAACAAAAACGGAAUUUCUUGAAUGGGUACUGAGGAUAAAGUAGAAAAUAGAUUAGAAAUUUGUUAUAGCCUUAGUGGGAGGUAAUUUAAAAUUCUGUUAAUUUGCUCCAGGUUUCAGCAUAAAAGUUUCUUUUUGCUAGUCUGAUCCUAAAUCAAUGACCUAUUCUUUCAAGUGAAUGUUUGCUAUUUUCUUGAGUUCUGGUCCCAAUUUUGCUUUCAAAUUGAAAUUCUAAGCCCAAGGUCCUAGCCUCUGAAUUUCUAUCCCCAAGGCCAUAUUUUAUUCUAAAAAAGACUUUCCAGACAUGGAUUUGUGAAUUCUUGAUUGUCAAGGAUUACUCAUCACUGACCUUCAAUGAGAAACCACAUUACUCAUACAGCUUUGCUUAUUUUGAGAUAGCCUGUCCAUUUGACAAACAAAACCUGUUAGGUUAAAGCUAGAUCAGUUUCAGAUUUUCCUUAGAAUUUUGCUAAGAUUCUGAGCAUCAAACAUUCGUCAAGGUGUCUGCUGUAGAAGCUCCUGGGUUCUUCUAGGCUUGGUGAAGCAGGAAAUUAGAACUCUGCAGUGUUGGGUUGAGUACGCCAUGAUAGAUAGGUACAAAAAGGCCUAGUGGUUCAUUCUAAGCUUUAGACCGCUUCUCGUAUUGUGGAAAAAUCUUACAGAUUUGGAUCAGAAGAGGUUUUAAAGAAUUUCUUGAAUGUCCCUGAUCUUUCCAGAGACCUCUGGUCACAGGCAUUAAAAGGCAGGAUCCAAAAGUUAGGAUGUCUAAAGUCAUAAUUCUAGCAUUGUUUGAAGCAGAAUCUGAGAGUUCAACACUCAUUUCCUCAUCUUUUUCAUUCACUGGAAAUGCACAGAUGCUGGGACAGCUGGUUUCAUUGGCAAUGAGUCUUUAUUGCUUGCAAGAGUGUACCCUGUAUGCCUGGGUCUGUGCCUUCUGAGAAUUCUGACCAUCUGCCCUUUCAGUAAAGCUUUCUACCCAACGUGCAUUAGAUUAUCUUGCUCAAGUUUAAUACACACUGAGACUGGGCCUCCAGACGUUCUGGAAAUUUAAUGCUCAGAUAUAUAAAUAACACUCAGAUAAACUGAUGCUCCGUCUCUAUGUACUUUGGUCUUAUUAUGGAAAUGUAAUCCUCAUGGAUACAAUUUGCUCCUAGAGAGAGAUAAUAUGUUUCUAUUGUUCAGAAAACUUAUUCCAUCUAGUGAUGUUUUUCUAAAAUAUAUCCACACUAAUCAUAGGGAAAUUCUCUUAUAGGCAGUUUCAUUAUGGUUCAUUUCCUAUUUUAUUCGGUGGAAUCUGUUUUAUUUUCAGAGUGAAAAUUAGAUUGUUAACAGCCCCUGGGCCAUGGGAGCUCAACUGGUUGCCAUAUAGGUUAGACAAUGAAACAUGGCUGCGUAUCCAGGAUGACCUGUACACUAGGCAUUAUCUAGCUUUUAGAACAUGUAAGCCAAUUCAGUUUUGUGGGAUAGGGUUUAUAUUUUUGGUUUUUGUCUUUGUUUGUUGGUAGAUCUGCCACUCAAGGGUAUUAAUUCAAGCGUAGAACUCAAAUUAGGAAAUGAAUUUUGGGAAUAAAUUACCAGGUUAAUCACAUGUACUGAGAAGCACAGGCUGAUGCCAAGUCACCUUCUGGAGGCUGCAUAGUAUAAUGGCUAAAAAAUAUUCUAGAAUACAACUGUUUGGGUCUAUCUCCCAUGACUACUGAUUAUUCCAAUGUAAUUUUAGGCAAAUCACUGGACUCGUGUAUUUUCAUCUGUUUAAGUGUUGAUAUUAAUGUUUUUCUUAUGUUAUACCUACGUCUGGCAGGGUGAUCAAAAAACCCAUUCCUGUGACACCUGGACUUCUGGUCACCAUGGCCUUCUCAGCUUGUGGCUAUUGCACUGGUUUUCACGACUGGGCAGAGAAGAACCAAGAUUUGUCCAGAUAAAUUAUUUAGUGCCGCAUGCAUUCUUUCUUGCUCAUGCUAUAUCAAAACAGAGAUAUAGCAUGUUCAUCACUGUACCUUGCCCAAAAGUUCUCAGGAAAUUAUCACUGAUUUGAUGAAUGAGUGCAUAAGUGUGCGGAGGUUAAAGCACUUUGGAGUAGCGAUCUCUAAAUUGGAGUAUGUACAUUCCAGGUUUUAUACAAAAUGAUUUAACGAAAUGUGGGAAGUUAAUAUAUUUAUAAUUCUAAUUAUUUUGAUUUAUAUAAAUAUGCAUAGACUCUAUGGUUUAUAAUUUACAUGACAUAUUAUUAAUCAGGAUAUAAAAAAUGCAUAACUGCAUAUAGAAAUGCAGAGUUUCUCAUAUUUUUUGUAGGUAGGGAUCUAUGACAAAAUAUUGGAGACCCUGGACCAGAGUAUUUCAGAAUGCUUGGUCAUACUUGGUAAUGCUCUUACCACAUGUUCUGUAGAAGUAAGGACAAAUAUACAGUUGAUUCUAUACACCACUAAUGCUUUUUUGAAUAAAAUAUAUUCUAUGAAAUAAAAAAAAUUAGGAUUCGUGUUGAGGCUCAGUGGGUUAGGAACUCAACAUAGUAUCUGUGAGGAUGUGAGUUUGAUUCCUGGCCUUGCCGCCAAGCAGCAUAGGCUACAAACUGGGCUCAGCUCUAGUGCUAACAGCCCGGGACCUUCCAUAUACUGCAGGUACAACCAUAAAAAGAAAAACAAACCAACAAAAAACAAUACCUUGCUGUGAAAUAAACUAUAAUUAAUAUACAUUCUGAGGAAAACCUUGUUUCCAUUUUUCUGAAAACCAAUCCAGUUUAUAUAUAUCAGUUUCCUAAUUUUAUUUAGAGCAGUUCUCAACGAUCACUGUAAAGCAACAUAUUUCAUAGUUUUUAUGUCUCUUCAAAUAUUUUCACAGUAGUUUGAUUAUUUAGGUAAAAUUCAAGAAUUUUUAUUUUACUUAUAUCUCAUAAAUGUAAUUUGUUACUUUUUAUUGUACCAGUCCUGUUGUUUCAGAUUCUCAUUAUUCAAUGUAUCUCUCUGUGUAAACCACAGUAUCUACUUCCAAAAAUAUGGGUUUUUCAGCAUUGUGGCAGAAGUUUCUAUGUUAUUUAUUUAUUAGAGCUGUGAUAAAUUCUACAGUCUUUUAAACAAAGCAGAUUGCAAGAAAAUAAAUGACUUGUACAAAGUCAUUUAUUUUGUCCUCUCUUCAUCUUUAGAUAUUCCUGUAUACCAGCCAUAGCUCUGGGGGACUAUUCUUGUUGUCUUCUGGUAGUUUGGUGUCAGGGCCAGAAUUAAACUCAAACUGGUAAAUAUGGACAUAGACAUAAUCAAAAUUACGGUUGAUUGGCAAUGCUACAAUGAUAAGCUUGGCAUCAUAAAACUAUUUGGAAUCAUUAAUGAUGCAUUCAAUGUUGCACUCAGUAUGUGGUAUUCAGAUUACCAAAAGUUGUUCUAUAAACAUGAAUACAUUUGAAAAAAUAUGUCUAAAAUUCAUGUUAAUGUACUUUUAUCUGCCUCAUUUCAAAACAGAUUUUAGAAUAAGGUCAGAGUAUAAAUUGUUUGUUUUUGCCUUUAAAGAGAAAAGAGAUGCAAAAUUGUAACAGGUAAAGCAGCAGUUGCUACAGAGAAAUAUAUGUUGUGGAGUAGAAAAACCUAAUAUCUAAACCUAGGAG